This 537-nucleotide ribosomal RNA is filed under the name uncultured Actinomycetes bacterium. RNAcentral's name for it is "bacterial SSU rRNA". It matches the Rfam family "Bacterial small subunit ribosomal RNA", at positions 223 to 774 of the family's 1533-position model. Lineage: Bacteria; Bacillati; Actinomycetota; Actinomycetes. The record is from RNAcentral.
GGAUGAGCCCGCGGCCUAUCAGCUUGUUGGUGGGGUAAUGGCCUACCAAGGCUUCGACGGGUAGCCGGCCUGAGAGGGUGACCGGCCACACUGGGACUGAGACACGGCCCAGACUCCUACGGGAGGCAGCAGUGGGGAAUAUUGGACAAUGGGCGAAAGCCUGAUCCAGCAACGCCGCGUGAGGGAUGACGGCCUUUGGGUUGUAAACCUCUUUCAGCACAGACGAAGCGAAAGUGACGGUAUGUGCAGAAGAAGCACCGGCCAACUACGUGCCAGCAGCCGCGGUAAUACGUAGGGUGCGAGCGUUGUCCGGAAUUAUUGGGCGUAAAGGGCUCGUAGGCGGUUUGUUGCGUCAGGAGUGAAAACUCGGGGCUUAACCCCCAGCCUGCUUCUGAUACGGGCAGACUUGAGGUAUGCAGGGGAGAACGGAAUUCCUGGUGUAGCGGUGAAAUGCGCAGAUAUCAGGAGGAACACCGGUGGCGAAGGCGGUUCUCUGGCAUUACCUGACGCUGAGAGCGAAAGUGUGGGGAGCGAACA